Molecule: ribosomal RNA, 468 nt
Filed under: uncultured bacterium
Lineage: Bacteria
Description: partial 16S ribosomal RNA
Rfam family: Bacterial small subunit ribosomal RNA
Source: RNAcentral
GACGAACGCUGGCGGCGUGCUUAACACAUGCAAGUCGAACGGAAAGGCCCUGCUUUUGUGGGGUGCUCGAGUGGCGAACGGGUGAGUAACACGUGAGUAACCUGCCCUUGACUUUGGGAUAACUUCAGGAAGCUGGGGCUAAUACCGGAUAGGAGCUCCUGCUGCAUGGUGGGGGUUGGAAAGUUUCGGCGGUUGGGGAUGGACUCGCGGCUUAUCAGCUUGUUGGUGGGGUAGUGGCUUACCAAGGCUUUGACGGGUAGCCGGCCUGAGAGGGUGACCGGCCACAUUAGGACUGAGAUACGGCCCAGACUCGUACGGGAGGCAGCAGUGGAGAAUAUUGCACAAUGGGCGGAAGCCUGAUGCAGCAACGCCGCGUGCGGGAUGACGGCCUUCGGGUUGUAAACCGCUUUCGCCUGUGACGAAGCGUGAGUGACGGUAAUGGGUAAAGAAGCACCGGCUAACUACGUG